ACGGGGGGCGCCUAUCCCGCUGUGCCACCAAUCACUUAAUUCGGCUCUCUCGACUGGUGCAUAAUAUGCUUAAUUAUGUUGUGAUUUUUCUGUACCAAUGAAUGAGCCGGGUGAGUGGUUAAAAUAUUUGUUGGCACACGUGGCUGUGUUAGUGAGAGGUCAAUCCGCAUCCUUUUCCACUAAUUAGCGUGAUUUGAUAAGUUCAGAUUCUGAGAAGGAGAAGAAAGCCUCAGGGGCCAGAGUAUUCAGGAGGACACCAAUCCAAAUCUAUGGUGUUUGAGGCAGCUUGAAAGAAGGUUUGCUGCAGGGAAGAGAUAGAAAGAGCGAAAUAGAGAGGGCAGGGGCGUGAUCUGUUGUAAGUAUGAAGUGAAGUAAUCCUUCCUGUCCCGCUGUUUGUUUUCGCAAGUCUGUUUUGCACAACUCUGUUUGCAGUGCGUGCAGUAACUGAUCGAUUGCGUUUUGAGGGUUCUAGGUGUCGAAUAUGACCGGGCCAUUAAAAUAAAAGUUGUAUAUCUUUUCAAGACCUUUCCAACGAAUAUUUAUUUGCAAUUUUUCGUCAGGUAUUCUAGGAGAUAAUGCCUAUCUGAAGUUACUGUCAGUUUUCGUCAGACUGCAGUUUUAGGCAUGACUUCCUAUUUUGCGCGGCGUUUCAAAGUAACUUCAAGGCUGAAUCUUUCCAUGGGGCUAUGGAUGUAUUUUCAGUAAUUGGUUUGAAAUUUCCAUGGAGAAUAUUUUCUCAAAUUUUCGCUGAGUAUAGUGAAAGAUACAACCUUCUGAAUGCUGCUGUCCAUUGCGAGUUCUGUUCUGAACUUCUGACAGUUACUGUUUUCUGUAUUGAGAUUUGAGAGGCAUUUUAAAAUAUCUGUCUAGAGUACAGUUAACAUAGAUAUAAUUCAUUGUUUGAUCUUUCCACAGAGGAUGUAAGUACUAUUUUUUAUUGCGUCUACAAGGAGUAAUUUAACAUUGCUAUCCGUUUCAGUUAACUUUGUGAGAUCUUCCUGAAACUAUAUAGUUUCGGUUGUGAGUUUCAAAUUGGUUUGCCGUUUUAACGGUACUUAGAGGCCGAAUGUAUUGUCUUGAACGAAACUGUUGCAUCUUGCUUUAGAUGUUUUUUGAUAAGGUAACAGCUGCCUCAACUGAAGAAUCAUUAACUCCCUCAUCGUGUAACUUCCCUGCUGCAGGUGAUUGGAUCAGCGAACCUUCUCUGUAGUUUAGGAUUUGAUCAGUUCGAGGAACGUGGUAAGUCCCUAGCAAAAUUCUUUCGCCUUAUUAAUCUUCUGCGUUCUUUAUCAGUGCGCUGGUCCAUGCAGUAUCAUCAGAGUCAUGGAUCUUUGACAGAAUGUAACGCAUGGGCAGUAUAGUAUUCUCUCAUGUUAUGUGAACCCUCAAAUUCCUUUCCAUGAGACUGAACCCAACUGUUCCCAAUUUUCUUAUGUGUUUGUGUAUACGAUGGUACAUAAGUGAGUUUCACCAUUAUUGGUCUAUUUCUUGAUGUUUUUUCCAAGGAUAUUCGAUUGUUGAGUUAAUUGUCAGUGAUGCCAUCACAUUGAGUUAACUCUAAAAGUUACGUUUCUUUGUUUUCUGUGUUAUGUGGAAGAAUGUAGAUUUGCAAUGUGAAGAGUUAUUCCAGGACAAUAGUGGCGGCUACCGAUGCAAUUAUUUUAAUUAUUAUAGAACAUCUAAUUGACAAUGCGGUCUGUGUUGCUGGAGUGAGCUUUUUUAUGGAAUGAAAUACAUGUUAAAGCAGAACCACUGUAAGAUGAUAUUCUUCAUGUUGUCCUUCAAGACAAUAUUUUAUAUGUUCUAAAUAUUUUGUGGCCACCUGGUAUUGGAGUCUGAAAUUUCGCAUGGUGGUGAAUUACUGAAUGCAUGCCAAGGCAGUUCCAUACAAAAACAC
This 1897-nucleotide long non-coding RNA is filed under the name Triticum aestivum (bread wheat). RNAcentral's name for it is "long non-coding RNA (TAES_LNC014903)". Lineage: Eukaryota; Viridiplantae; Streptophyta; Magnoliopsida; Poales; Poaceae. The record is from RNAcentral.